GAUGAACGCUGGCGGCGUGCCUAAUACAUGCAAGUCGAGCGAACGGACGAGAAGCUUGCUUCUCUGAUGUUAGCGGCGGACGGGUGAGUAACACGUGGAUAACCUACCUAUAAGGCUGGGAUAACUUCGGGAAACCGGAGCUAAUACCGGAUAAUAUUUUGAACCGCAUGGUUCAAAAGUGAUAGACGGUCUUGCUGUCACUUAUAGAUGGAUCCGCGCUGCAUUAGCUAGUUGGUAAGGUAACGGCUUACCAAGGCAACGAUGCAUAGCCGACCUGAGAGGGUGAUCGGCCGCACUGGAACUGAGACACGGUCCAGACUCCUACGGGAGGCAGCAGUAGGGAAUCUUCCGCAAUGGGCGAAAGCCUGACGGAGCAACGCCGCGUGAGUGAUGAAGGUCUUCGGAUCGUAAAACUCUGUUAUUAGGGAAGAACAUAUGUGUAAGUAACUGUGCACAUCUUGACGGUACCUAAUCAGAAAGCCACGGCUAACUACGUG
Molecule: ribosomal RNA, 497 nt
Filed under: uncultured bacterium
Lineage: Bacteria
Description: partial 16S ribosomal RNA
Rfam family: Bacterial small subunit ribosomal RNA
Source: RNAcentral